CCCGGGCCUUGUACACACCGCCCGUCACACCAUGGGAGUGGGUUGUACCAGAAGUAGGUAGCCUAACCGCAAGGGGGGCGCCUACCACGGUAUGGUUCAUGACUGGGGUG
This 110-nucleotide ribosomal RNA is filed under the name uncultured bacterium. RNAcentral's name for it is "partial 16S ribosomal RNA". It matches the Rfam family "Bacterial small subunit ribosomal RNA", at positions 1373 to 1482 of the family's 1533-position model. The record is from RNAcentral.